GAUGAACGCUGGCGGCGUGCCUAAUACAUGCAAGUCGAGCGAACGGACGAGAAGCUUGCUUCUCUGAUGUUAGCGGCGGACGGGUGAGUAACACGUGUAUAACCUACCUAUAAGACUGGGAUAACUUCGGGAAACCGUAGCUAAUACCGGAUAAUAUUUUGAACCGCAUUGUUCAAAAGUGAAAGACGGUCUUGCUGUCACUUAUAGAUGGAUCCGCGCUGCAUUAGCUAGUUGGUAAGGUAACGGCUUACCAAGGCAACGAUGCAUAGCCGACCUGAGAGGGUGAUCGGCCACACGGGAACUGAGACACGGUCCAGACUCCUACGGGAGGCAGCAGUAGGGAAUCUUCCGCAAUGGGCGAAAGCCUGACGGAGCAACGCCGCGUGAGUGAUGAAGGUCUUCGGAUCGUAAAACUCUGUUAUUAGGGAAGAACAUAUGUGUAAGUAACUGUGCACAUCUUGACGGUACCUAAUCAGAAAGCCCCGGCUAACUACGUG
Molecule: ribosomal RNA, 497 nt
Filed under: uncultured bacterium
Lineage: Bacteria
Description: partial 16S ribosomal RNA
Rfam family: Bacterial small subunit ribosomal RNA
Source: RNAcentral